GCAGGAGCCUGAGUCUUGCAGGGGAUAUCAGAGAAGAUCCAGCGGUGAGCAGAUGGGACUGAGCAUGCAGCUCUUUGAGUUCCAGAGCUCUACAGAUAUCCAGAUGGAAGACCAGGGAGUGCAGCAAUCAGUAUGUAAUUGGAUGUAUCCUGUAAACACUAAGAAACUUAUCCCUCCUGCCACCAGAGAUGAUCUUUCUAAAGCAGACUGUAACCUCUAGUUUUGUCUCACACACAGCACCCAGCGCUGAAUACCGAAUGUGAAGUUUGAUCCCAAAGUGCUGAUAAAAUGCAGCUGAUUUCUCAGCUUAGGCUGACAAGAUUUGUUCAUGCUUAAAAAAAUAACAUCUCAAGUGACAAACCCUCAAGAUUUCAAAGGAAGCCUAAGAGAGUUUUGUUCAAUCAGAAGGUAACAAAGAUGCUCUUCCUGACACAUUGCUGCAGUCUCAACGGAAUAAGAAAGACACCGAGGAGGGGCAAACACUACUGAUCAGGUUAACAGGAAAACUUUCUUUGCGAGCACUAAUUGGAAUGCAAAUCUUUGUACCAUAAAAAACCUGAGCUAUGAAUAGAGCACUGGAAUUUAAUUGAUUAAAUGUGUCAGCUUCUAAAAAAGCAGGAGAUACAUGCCCUGAUAUACCUGACUCUCAACAUUUUUAUUAAUAGGUAUAUCGUGGUGCUUCAGCUUGCUUAGAGAUGCAGGUAUAAUACACUGUAUAUUUUUACACUUUAGUAGAUGUUCUGCUGAAAGCACACAAGAAAGAAACUUGGUACAUAGGGUAAGCUGGAAUGUGCUUGGCAAUGGGGUGCUGGCACUGCUAUCAUCAGCUGAACUGUUCCAGCAGCAGACAUGUACAAAAGCAAGAGGUGGGGCUGGCAGUGACUGAGUGUCUUUGAAGUAUAGAAGUUUGCCAUUGUUCUAUGAAAGAAAUGACAAUAAAAUGUAUUAUACGUAAGCUUGUGAAAUACCAGGAAAUCACAGAGAAGCAAAAAGCAAUGAAAAAGCACUACCUUAGGCUAAUUGUUGUCUUAAUUUCAUUGCCAAAUAAACCUUAGCACUAAUAUGAUGAUAUUUUUCCAAAUUGUCUGCUGUAAGAAGCUAACAAAUCUACGAAUCUUCUACUGAGUAAUGCACUCACCUUUGGAUAGGUAUGACAGAAUGCAUGGGUGAAUAUGUGUGAGAAGGCUGGCCCAUCUGCACAGUGCUUAUCAGUAUGCAACAUGACAAUUUCCUCCACAGCUGCUUUCUUGUUAUAACUCAGUUGCAAAAAUCAUAUAUCCAGUAAGUCACUCUACAGAUGUUCACUUCCAACCUAUGAAUGCUCUCUAUUAUUUCCACAAAGUGAAUUACAUUUUUCUCAAAUCCUGGACCAAAAUUUAUCAAAGCACAAAACAGAACUUUUCAAAAUUACUGUAAUUAAUGGAAAGCCUGUGAAAUACUUACCUAGCCAAGGGCAAGUAUAAAAUCCUCCAAUGAAGUGUCAUAAAAAAUUAUGGCAUAAAUUAAAGCUGAACUAGUAUGCAUUUGUUAAUCUUCCCUGCAAUUCCCAACUAAAAAAGAAAUUAAAAUAAAAACUUCAGGAUCCUGUAAUUCAAAAUAACAAAAUUCAGGUAUACAACAUGAUGCAUGGCAUCAUGCUGUUUCAUUAAACUGACUACUAUAUGACUUGUGUUUUAUUAUGGGAAUAAUAUUUAAUAGAUUAUGCUUGCAUUUUGUGUUGCAUACCUGGUCUCACAUUAUAGCUCAGAGAUUUAUACUUUAAAAAAGAGAACAUGAAAAGAGGAAAUAAAACAGGUAAAUCAA
This is a long non-coding RNA of Apus apus (common swift), 1803 nucleotides long. RefSeq lists it as uncharacterized. The record is from RefSeq and is a predicted model, not a curated record. The transcript is spliced from 3 exons. Lineage: Eukaryota; Metazoa; Chordata; Aves; Apodiformes; Apodidae.